ACGGGGCCCGCACAAGCGGUGGAGUAUGUGGUUUAAUUCGAUGCAACGCGAAGAACCUUACCUGGUCUUGACAUCCCGGAGACCCUUAGGAAACUAGGGGGUGCUUCCAUCUGGAAGAAUCUGGAGACAGGUGCUGCAUGGCUGUCGUCAGCUCGUGUCGUGAGAUGUUGGGUUAAGUCCCGCAACGAGCGCAACCCUUGCCUUUAGUUGCCAGCAGUUCGGCUGGGCACUCUAAAGGGACUGCCGGUGCUAAACCGGAGGAAGGUGGGGAUGACGUCAAGUCCUCAUGGCCUUUAUGACCAGGGCUACACACGUACUACAAUGGCCGAUACAAAGGGCAGCGACACUGCGAGGUGAAGCCAAUCCCGUAAAAUCGGUCUCAGUCCGGAUUGGAGUCUGCAACUCGACUCCAUGAAGUUGGAAUCGCUAGUAAUCGUGGAUCAGCAUGCCACGGUGAAUACGUUCCCGGGCCUU
This 474-nucleotide ribosomal RNA is filed under the name uncultured Desulfobulbus sp. RNAcentral's name for it is "bacterial SSU rRNA". It matches the Rfam family "Bacterial small subunit ribosomal RNA", at positions 916 to 1381 of the family's 1533-position model. Lineage: Bacteria; Pseudomonadati; Thermodesulfobacteriota; Desulfobulbia; Desulfobulbales; Desulfobulbaceae. The record is from RNAcentral.